This is a non-coding RNA of Schizosaccharomyces pombe (fission yeast), 770 nucleotides long. The record is from the annotation of a GenBank genome assembly. Lineage: Eukaryota; Fungi; Ascomycota; Schizosaccharomycetes; Schizosaccharomycetales; Schizosaccharomycetaceae.
AAUUUUACGAAGUGUAAAAAGCUUUAGCUCUUGAUUAGCAUCAAAGUUACCUUCUAAAAGAUCCAAAUAAUCGGAAUAAAUUUGACCUCCAAAUCUCCAAGAAGCCAACCCAUCUGUUUGCCCAUUAAAUCCUUCUAGUGCUUUUUUCAAUUGUGUCUUAUUACCACUUAUAACAGCCUGUGGAGCCAAGGUAUCCAACAACACCUUAUGCGCAUCUUCAUACAAAGCAGCUUCCUGAAGGAAAUAAAGCUCGUUUAAGUGAUCACCAACAUAACGUGCAUACAACGCUUUGGCCUCGUUUAACCAGGAUUCAGGGAUACAUAACUUUUCAAUCAUUUCAACAGCACCAGCACCUAAUCCCCCACGAAGGUUUCGUGCUAAACAUGAAGUGAUAGUCGAUGUUCGGGUUUCUACAUUCUCCAAAUGCAAUAAAACAAAUAAUGACCAUAACCAUUGCCCUGAUGCUUCCAACUGGGAAGCAUAUGCCAGAGUCAAUUGAUCAGAAUGAACACUAAUAGGUUUUAGAUCUUCAGCCAUGUUAAUAUCCACCACUCUAUCUGAAAAGUCACAUAAGGAUCUAGCUUUCGAUAAGUAAAUUGCCAAUUGCCAUACUACUCUGUAAUUCAGCGGCGAACAUUUAGCGCUUUCCGGUAUAGUAAGUUCUUCUAAACUAGUGCCCAUAGCAUACGCUUUGAGCAAAAGAUAAAUAAUGUCAUAUACUUCAAUACCUUGCACAGCACUAGUGGCGAUUGGUUUCUGCAUGAUUUCAG